This 253-nucleotide ribosomal RNA is filed under the name uncultured bacterium. RNAcentral describes it as "partial 16S ribosomal RNA". It matches the Rfam family "Bacterial small subunit ribosomal RNA", at positions 524 to 776 of the family's 1533-position model. The record is from RNAcentral.
UACGUAGGGCGCAAGCGUUGUCCGGAAUUAUUGGGCGUAAAGAGCUUGUAGGCGGUUUGUCGCGUCUGCUGUGAAAAUCCGGGGCUCAACCCCGGACUUGCAGUGGGUACGGGCAGACUAGAGUGUGGUAGGGGAGACUGGAAUUCCUGGUGUAGCGGUGAAAUGCGCAGAUAUCAGGAGGAACACCGAUGGCGAAGGCAGGUCUCUGGGCCACUACUGACGCUGAGAAGCGAAAGCAUGGGGAGCGAACAGG